Molecule: ribosomal RNA, 442 nt
Filed under: uncultured bacterium
Lineage: Bacteria
Description: partial 16S ribosomal RNA
Rfam family: Bacterial small subunit ribosomal RNA
Source: RNAcentral
CCUACGGGAGGCAGCAGUAGGGAAUCUUUCACAAUGGGCGAAAGCCUGAUGGAGCAACGCCGCGUGCAGGAUGAAGGCCCUCGGGGUUGUAACUGCCUUUAUAAGAGAGAAAUAUGAGGGUAACUUAUGAAUAAGGAUCGGCUAACUACGUGCCAGCAGCUGCGGUCAUACGUAGGAUCCGAGCAUUAUCCGGAGUGACUGGGUGUAAAGAGUUGCGUAGGUGGCAUAAUAAGUAGCUAGUGAAAUCUGGUGGCUCAACCAUUCAGACUAUUAGCUAAACUGUUAAGCUCGAGACCGUUAGGGGUAACUGGAAUUUCUAGUGUAGGAGUGAAAUCCGUAGAUAUUAGAAGGAACACCAAUAGCGAAGGCAGGUUGCUGGGAUGGUUCUGACACUAAGGCACGAAAGCGUAGGGAGCAAACGGGAUUAGAUACCCGGGUAGUC